UACGGAGGGUGCAAGCGUUAUCCGGAUUUACUGGGUUUAAAGGGUGCGUAGGUGGAUAAGUAAGUCAGUGGUGAAAUCUCCGGGCUUAACCCGGGAACUGCCAUUGAUACUAUUUGUCUUGAAUACUUUGGAGGUAAGCGGAAUAUGUCAUGUAGCGGUGAAAUGCUUAGAUAUGACAUAGAACACCCAUUGCGAAGGCAGCUUACUACGGAUAUAUUGACACUGAGGCACGAAAGCGUGGGGAUCAAACAGG
RNAcentral lists this ribosomal RNA (253 nucleotides) under uncultured bacterium. RNAcentral's name for it is "partial 16S ribosomal RNA". It matches the Rfam family "Bacterial small subunit ribosomal RNA", at positions 524 to 776 of the family's 1533-position model. The record is from RNAcentral.